Molecule: ribosomal RNA, 402 nt
Filed under: uncultured Soehngenia sp.
Lineage: Bacteria; Bacillati; Bacillota; Tissierellia; Tissierellales; Tissierellaceae
Description: bacterial SSU rRNA
Rfam family: Bacterial small subunit ribosomal RNA
Source: RNAcentral
CAGCAGCCGCGGUAAUACGUAGGGGGCGAGCGUUGUCCGGAAUUACUGGGCGUAAAGAGUUCGUAGGCGGUUUGAUAAGUCAGAUGUGAAAGGCGUAGGCUUAACCUAUGUAAGCAUAUGAAACUGUCAGACUUGAGGUAAGGAGAGGAAAGUGGAAUUCCUAGUGUAGCGGUGAAAUGCGUAGAUAUUAGGAGGAAUACCAGUGGCGAAGGCGACUUUCUGGACUUAAACUGACGCUGAGGAACGAAAGCGUGGGGAGCAAACAGGAUUAGAUACCCUGGUAGUCCACGCCGUAAACGAUGAGUGCUAGGUGUCGGGUAGAAAUAUUCGGUGCCGCAGCUAACGCAAUAAGCACUCCGCCUGGGGAGUACGUACGCAAGUAUGAAACUCAAAGGAAUUGAC